CAUUUUGAACAGUUUUAAGCUCCUCAUCACCAUCAGUUAAGCCAUAGGGCGUCCACUGCUGGGGCAAAAUUCUGCUAAUUAGUCAUAAAUACUCAUUAUUUAACAUGAAUAUACUAAAGAUAGACGUGCCAUACAGAGAUGUAAGGAAACAAAUAUAAGACUUGGAAAAGUGUCAUAUUAUUUUGUUGUUUUUGAGCAUGAACCUAUACAUAAAUUAAGUAUGUAAAUCCGUGUUUUUGAAUGUUUAUUUAUCUGAUAGGGUUGUUUCCUAGUCUUCACUCAAUAAAAAAUAGAUAACUGCACCAAAAGUUCUCAAAACUAGAAACACCAUAAGCGAUAUAUUAUUUAUAACCGACAUAUAAUUCUUAAUUGAUUUAUAAAAUUAAAAAUCGCUUAAUACGCCAUCAAAAACGGCGAAUAGUAGAGACCAAGAUGUAGCGACGACGUCAUUUUACAUUACAUUUGACAAUGACAAUUAUUUGACAGUGACAAAUAUAUUACCGAAAUAACCUCAGAAUUAAUGUGUUACUGUGUUAUUCACUUCUGUUUGUUAAUUGUAUUUGAGCGAUAGAAUCAUUACGCAGAGAUCAAUUCUUUGCCAAUAACCAACAUUUUUAUUCAGCGAAAUUCAAAAACGUAAAAACUUCUCUUUCUUCUAUGCAGUCGUACGGUGACCAAGACCAAUGUGUGUGAUAAAGUGCAAAAUAUGUCCCAAACAAUAAUGUGCGCCUGAAACCAUACACAAUGACAAUGACAGUCAAUAAAAAGAUUUUUAUGUAAAUACCUAAUAUCAUUUGUGAUGACUGCCCUGCCUCUUGAGGGUGGAUGUAGCAAGCAUGCAGUAGCAGAUUGAUUAUGAUGAACAAUUCAUCAAAAUUAUUAUGCGGACAUCUGUGAACUUUUGGGAAACAAAUAUAUUUCCAUUGUUAUAAAAAUAAAACAUGAUAAAUAAAAA
Molecule: unclassified non-coding RNA, 955 nt
Filed under: Helicoverpa zea (corn earworm)
Lineage: Eukaryota; Metazoa; Arthropoda; Insecta; Lepidoptera; Noctuidae
Description: myrosinase 1-like, transcript variant X2
Source: RNAcentral